GGAGGACCUGCUUGAAGCCAGCCCUGAAUCUACAGUAAAAACAAACAACGGCUCAAUGUGCUUGCAAGAUGGUUGUCCUCCACUGACUGUCCAAACAAAGUCGCCACCUGAAUUUAGAAACGCAAACAGUUUUUCCAGGGAUCAGAGCUUUCACUGUCCAAUCAACUACGGCUAAAGCACGCAGUGGAUUGUUUUGUGCUGUCCUACCUGUCUAAGGCAAUCGCGGCCAUGGAGUAGAUGCUGGCAAACACAGCCGUGACCGGGA
Molecule: long non-coding RNA, 265 nt
Organism: Gambusia affinis (western mosquitofish)
Lineage: Eukaryota; Metazoa; Chordata; Actinopteri; Cyprinodontiformes; Poeciliidae
Exons: 3
Source: RefSeq, a predicted model, not a curated record